AUUGAACGCUGGCGGCAUGCCUAACACAUGCAAGUCGAACGGCAGCACGCUGUGUAGCAAUACACAUGGGUGGCGAGUGGCGGACGGGUGAGUAGAAAGUAGGGAUCUGCCUUGUAGAUUGGGAUAACUUGGGGAAACUCGAGCUAAUACCGGAUAAGCACUAAGGUGGAAAGCAUGGGACCGAAAGGCCAUGCGCUAUAAGAUGAACCUACGUCGGAUUAGCUAGUUGGUUAGGUAAAGGCUGACCAAGGCGAAGAUCCGUAGCUGGUCUGAGAGGAUGAUCAGCCACACUGGGACUGAGACACGGCCCAGACUCCUACGGGAGGCAGCAGUGGGGAAUAUUGGACAAUGGGGGAAACCCUGAUCCAGCGAUGCCGCGUGUGCGAAGAAGGCCUGCGGGUUGUAAAGCACUUUAGUUGGGGAAGAAAGUUCAAGAGUCGAAUAGGCUUUUGAUUUGACGUUACCCAAAGAAUAAGCACCGGCUAACUCUGUGCCAGCAGCCGCGGUAAUACAGAGGGUGCGAGCGUUAAUCGGAAUUACUGGGCGUAAAGGGCGCGUAGGCGGUUAUGUAAGUUAGAUGUGAAAUCCCCGGGCUUAACCUGGGAAUGGCAUUUAAUACUGUAUGACUAGAGUAGAGUAGAGGGAAGUGGAAUUUCCGGUGUAGCGGUGAAAUGCGUAGAUAUCGGAAAGAACACCAGUGGCGAAGGCGGCUUCCUGGACUCAUACUGACGUUGAGGCGCGAAAGCGUGGGUAGCAAACAGGAUUAGAUACCCUGGUAG
This 779-nucleotide ribosomal RNA is filed under the name uncultured Gammaproteobacteria bacterium. RNAcentral describes it as "bacterial SSU rRNA". It matches the Rfam family "Bacterial small subunit ribosomal RNA", at positions 28 to 793 of the family's 1533-position model. The record is from RNAcentral. Lineage: Bacteria; Pseudomonadati; Pseudomonadota; Gammaproteobacteria.